Molecule: ribosomal RNA, 465 nt
Filed under: uncultured bacterium
Lineage: Bacteria
Description: partial 16S ribosomal RNA
Rfam family: Bacterial small subunit ribosomal RNA
Source: RNAcentral
GACGAACGCUGGCGGCGUGCUUAACACAUGCAAGUCGAACGGAAAGGCCCUGCUUGCAGGGUACUCGAGUGGCGAACGGGUGAGUAACACGUGGGUGAUCUGCCCUGCACUUCGGGAUAAGCCUGGGAAACUGGGUCUAAUACCGGAUAGGAGCCAUUUUUAGUGUGAUGGUUGGAAAGUUUUUUCGGUGUAGGAUGAGCUCGCGGCCUAUCAGCUUGUUGGUGGGGUAAUGGCCUACCAAGGCGGCGACGGGUAGCCGGCCUGAGAGGGUGGACGGCCACAUUGGGACUGAGAUGCGGCCCAGACUCCGACGGGAGGCAGCAGUGGGGAAUAUUGCACAAUGGGCGCAAGCCUGAUGCAGCGACGCCGCGUGGGGGAUGACGGCCUUCGGGUUGUAAACUCCUUUCGCUAGGGACGAAGCUUUUUGUGACGGUACCUAGAUAAGAAGCACCGGCUAACUACGUG